This is a long non-coding RNA of Megalobrama amblycephala (Wuchang bream), 149 nucleotides long. RefSeq lists it as uncharacterized. The transcript has 2 exons. NCBI's taxonomy places the organism in Eukaryota, Metazoa, Chordata, Actinopteri, Cypriniformes, Xenocyprididae. The record is from RefSeq and is a predicted model, not a curated record.
GAACAAUCCCAUCAGCCACCAGACUCAACAUCUGCACAUCACUCACCUCUGUCACACAUGUUCAGGAAGUGCUUAAAUCUGAAGCAGAACGCUGAACUUUAAAGAUUCUUCAAGUGUGUUUUUGUCAUAAUAAAUACUGAUGAUUAUUU